This 253-nucleotide ribosomal RNA is filed under the name uncultured bacterium. RNAcentral's name for it is "partial 16S ribosomal RNA". It matches the Rfam family "Bacterial small subunit ribosomal RNA", at positions 524 to 776 of the family's 1533-position model. The record is from RNAcentral.
UACGUAGGGUGCAAGCGUUACUCGGAAUUACUGGGCGUAAAGCGUGCGCAGGCGGUUGUGCAAGUCCGAUGUGAAAUCCCCGGGCUUAACCUGGGAAUGGCAUUGGUGACUGCACGGCUAGAGUGUGUCAGAGGGGGGUAGAAUUCCACGUGUAGCAGUGAAAUGCGUAGAGAUGUGGAGGAAUACCGAUGGCGAAGGCAGCCCCCUGGGAUAACACUGACGCUCAUGCACGAAAGCGUGGGGAGCAAACAGG